RNAcentral lists this ribosomal RNA (268 nucleotides) under Streptomyces hintoniae. RNAcentral describes it as "Streptomyces sp. DSM 41014 partial 23S ribosomal RNA". It matches the Rfam family "Bacterial large subunit ribosomal RNA", at positions 1637 to 1889 of the family's 2925-position model. The record is from RNAcentral. Lineage: Bacteria; Bacillati; Actinomycetota; Actinomycetes; Kitasatosporales; Streptomycetaceae.
GCGGCCCGUACCCUAAACCGACUCAGGUGGUCAGGUAGAGAAUACCGAGGCGUUCGGGUGAACUAUGGUUAAGGAACUCGGCAAAAUGCCCCCGUAACUUCGGGAGAAGGGGGGCCACGUCUGGUGAUCCGUUUUACACGGUGAGCUGGGGGUGGCCGCAGAGACCAGCGAGAAGCGACUGUUUACUAAAAACACAGGUCCGUGCGAAGCCGUAAGGCGAUGUAUACGGACUGACGCCUGCCCGGUGCUGGAACGUUAAGGGGACCGG